Molecule: ribosomal RNA, 254 nt
Filed under: uncultured bacterium
Lineage: Bacteria
Description: partial 16S ribosomal RNA
Rfam family: Bacterial small subunit ribosomal RNA
Source: RNAcentral
UACGUAGGGGGCAAGCGUUACCCGGAUUUACUGGGCGUAAAGCGCGUGUAGGCGGCUGGCCAAGUGUGGUGUGAAAUCCCCCGGCUCAACCGGGGAACUGCAUUGCAAACUGGUCUGGCUAGAGUGCAGGAGAGGGAAGUGGAAUUCCCGGUGUAGCGGUGAAAUGCGUAGAUAUCGGGAAGAACACCAGUGGCGAAGGCGGCUUCCUGGCCUGCAACUGACGCUGAGACGCGAAAGCGUGGGGAGCGAACCGG